Molecule: ribosomal RNA, 497 nt
Filed under: uncultured bacterium
Lineage: Bacteria
Description: partial 16S ribosomal RNA
Rfam family: Bacterial small subunit ribosomal RNA
Source: RNAcentral
GAUGAACGCUGGCGGCGUGCCUAAUACAUGCAAGUCGAGCGAACAGACGAGGAGCUUGUUCCUCUGACGUUAGCGGCGGACGGGUGAGUAACACGUGGAUAACCUACCUAUAAGACUGGGAUAAAUUCGGGAAACCGGAGCUAAUACCGGAUAAUAUAUUGAACCGCAUGGUUCAAUAGUGAAAGACGGUUUUGCUGUCACUUAUAGAUGGAUCCGCGCCGCAUUAGCUAGUUGGUAAGGUAACGGCUUACCAAGGCAACGAUGCGUAGCCGACCUGAGAGGGUGAUCGGCCACACUGGAACUGAGACACGGUCCAGACUCCUACGGGAGGCAGCAGUAGGGAAUCUUCCGCAAUGGGCGAAAGCCUGACGGAGCAACGCCGCGUGAGUGAUGAAGGUCUUCGGAUCGUAAAACUCUGUUAUUAGGGAAGAACAAAUGUGUAAUUAACUAUGCACGUCUUGACGGUACCUAAUCAGAAAGCCACGGCUAACUACGUG